UUGCGCUAUCAGAUGAGCCUAGGUCGGAUUAGCUAGUUGGUGAGGUAAUGGCUCACCAAGGCGACGAUCCGUAACUGGUCUGAGAGGAUGAUCAGUCACACUGGAACUGAGACACGGUCCAGACUCCUACGGGAGGCAGCAGUGGGGAAUAUUGGACAAUGGGCGAAAGCCUGAUCCAGCCAAGGCGCGUGUGUGAAGAAGGUCUUCGGAUUUAAAGCUCAUUGAGUGGGAGGAAGGGCAUUACCUAAUACGUUA
Molecule: ribosomal RNA, 255 nt
Filed under: uncultured bacterium
Lineage: Bacteria
Description: partial 16S ribosomal RNA
Rfam family: Bacterial small subunit ribosomal RNA
Source: RNAcentral